This is a long non-coding RNA of Helianthus annuus (common sunflower), 433 nucleotides long. RefSeq lists it as uncharacterized. Lineage: Eukaryota; Viridiplantae; Streptophyta; Magnoliopsida; Asterales; Asteraceae. The record is from RefSeq and is a predicted model, not a curated record. The transcript is spliced from 3 exons.
GAACCUGUAGCAUACAAGUUUUUCACCCAAGCAUGUAUAUUGUAUGAAGAAUAAAUUCGUGACUCUGCAACGGAUGUACACGUUUGGUGUCGGGAAAGGGGAUACUUUGACCCACAAGGCCAUAUUAUGGUAGUAUCAUGCAAAACUCUUGAAGAAGCCUGAGCAGUGCUGAACUUUUAUGCCUGUUCACAUCUGUUCUAGGUUGAGGAUCAAGGAUGGUGAGAGAGUAUUACUCUGUUUGAAGCAUGCCUUAAGAAUCGUAAACGCUGCUCAACAAAUAGCAAAUGGGACAAGAGGUAGCAGCGUCAUCCUCUUUAUCCUCUUUAUCGGGGUUAUGUUUUUAGUUCUUGAAUCUUUUCUUUAUAUUGUAAGUAAUAUAUUAUUAUUAAAAAUAUCAUGUGCAUUGCCUACUUUUAGGAAUGUCAUUAGUGUA